Molecule: transfer RNA, 73 nt
Filed under: Kangiella koreensis DSM 16069
Lineage: Bacteria; Pseudomonadati; Pseudomonadota; Gammaproteobacteria; Kangiellales; Kangiellaceae
Rfam family: tRNA
About the family: Transfer RNA (tRNA) molecules are approximately 80 nucleotides in length. Their secondary structure includes four short double-helical elements and three loops (D, anti-codon, and T loops).
Source: Rfam by way of RNAcentral
GGGUUGCUAGCUCAGUCGGUAGAGCAUCUGACUUUUAAUCAGGUGGUCACAGGUUCGAUCCCUGUGCAACCCA